GGUGGAUGCCUUGGCAUCAAGAAGCGACGAAAGACGUGGGAGCCUGCGAUAUGCCUCGGGGAGUCGGCAACCAGACUGCGAUCCGAGGAUUUCUGAAUGAGGAAACUCAAUAACCAUGCAGUGAAUUCAUAGCUGCAUGGAGCGAACGCGGGGAACUGAAACAUCUAAGUACCCGUAGGAAAAGAAAGAGACAUCGAUUCCGUAAGUAGCGGCGAGCGAAAUCGGAACAGCCCAAACCGGUCUUCGGACCGGGGUUGCGGGCGCCUUGAGCUGAAAAAGUCUUAGCAGAACGCUCUGGAAAGUGCGGCCAUAGCGGGUGAUAGCCCCGUAUGCGAAAAGAUAAAUAGGCGUUGAGAGGCGUACCAGAGUAGCACGGAGCUCGUGGAACUCCGUGCGAAGCUACGCGGACCACCGCGUAAGGCUAAAUAUUCCUUGAUGACCGAUAGUGAACAAGUAGGGCGAUUGAACGGUGAAAAGUACUGCUAUUAGCAGAGUUAAAAGUACCUGAAACCAUACACUUACAAGCGGUCGGAGCACUAUGCCCAGCAAUGGGAAUGUGUGACGGCGUACCUUUUGCAUAAUGGACCGGCGAGUGCAUUUCUGCAGCAAGGCUAAGGGAUCAAGUCCCGGAGCCGUAGCGAAAGCGAGUCUUAAGAUGGCGCUAAGUUGCAGGAUUGCGGCCCGAAACCCCGUGAUCUACCCAUGAGCAGAGUGAACGUUCCGUAACAGGAACGGGAGGCUCGAAGCCGUGAACGUUGAAAAGUUCUGGCAUGACUUGUGGGGAGGAGUGAAAGUCUAAUCAAACGGGGAGAUAUCUGGUUCUCUUCGAAAUGCCUUUAGGGGCAGCCUUGAGCAACUACUUAACAGGGGUAGAGCUACUGAAAGGGAACAGGGGGCUACCCGCCUACCUGUCCCUACCAAACUCCGAAUACUGUUAAGACUAUCUCAGGAGUGAGUCGGCGAGCGAUAAUGUUCGUCGUCGAGAGGGAAACAACCUUGACCGCCUGCUAAGGUCCCAAAUCUUCGCUUAGUUCGUGAGGAAGUUAUUCUACUGAGACAACCAGGAUGUUGGCUUAGAAGCAGCCACCAUUUAAAAAGUGCGUAAUAGCUUACUGGUCGAGUAGAGUAGCGCCGUAAAUGAUCGGGAAUAAGCGUAGAACCGAAGCAGCGGAUGCACAGCAAUGUGCGUGGUAGAAGAGCGUUGUAUGCAGCAUAGAAGCCAUACCGUAAGGAGUGGUGGAGCGCAUACAAGCGAGAAUGCCGGUAUGAGUAACGAUAAUGCAGGUGAAAAUCCUGCACGCCGAAAACCUAAGGUUUCCUGGGGAAGGUAAAUCCGCCCAGGGUUAGUCGGGAGCUAAGGCGAGGCCGAAAGGCGUAGUCGAUGCACAGCAGGUUAAUAUUCCUGCACCGAU
RNAcentral lists this ribosomal RNA (1412 nucleotides) under Anophryoides haemophila. RNAcentral describes it as "partial Bacterial large subunit ribosomal RNA". It matches the Rfam family "Bacterial large subunit ribosomal RNA", at positions 23 to 1448 of the family's 2925-position model. Lineage: Eukaryota; Ciliophora; Oligohymenophorea; Philasterida; Glauconematidae. The record is from RNAcentral.